GACGAACGCUGGCGGCGUGCUUAACACAUGCAAGUCGAACGGUAAGGCCCUUCGGGGUACACGAGUGGCGAACGGGUGAGUAACACGUGGGUGAUCUGCCCCGCACUUCGGGAUAAGCCUGGGAAACUGGGUCUAAUACCGGAUAGGACCACUGCCUGCAUGGGCGGUGGUGGAAAGCUUUUGCGGUGUGGGUUGUGCCCGCGGCGUAUCAGCUUGUUUGUGUGGUGGUGGCCUACCAAGGCGACGACGGGUAGCCGGCCUGAGAGCGUGACCCGCCGCGCUGGGACUCAGAUGCGGCGCAGACUGCUGCGGGACGCAUCAGUGGGGAAUGUUGCACAAUGGGCACAAGCCUGAUGCAGCGCCGCCGCGAGAGGGAUGGCGGCCUUCGGGUUGUAGACCUCUGUCAGCAACGACGAAGCGCAAGUGACGGUAGGUGCAGAAGAAGGACCGGCCAACUACGUGCCAGCCGCCGCCGUAA
RNAcentral lists this ribosomal RNA (478 nucleotides) under uncultured bacterium. Its description in RNAcentral is "partial 16S ribosomal RNA". It matches the Rfam family "Bacterial small subunit ribosomal RNA", at positions 28 to 523 of the family's 1533-position model. The record is from RNAcentral.